This 758-nucleotide ribosomal RNA is filed under the name uncultured organism. Its description in RNAcentral is "bacterial SSU rRNA". It matches the Rfam family "Bacterial small subunit ribosomal RNA", at positions 80 to 848 of the family's 1533-position model. The record is from RNAcentral.
UACGCUUUGAUGUUAGCGGCAAACGGGUGCGUAACACAUUGGUAAUCUACCGUCCAGUCGGAGAUAGGGGACCGAAAGGUGAGCUAAUUCCACGAUGGGCAUGCGGGGACAUAUGUCAUUCGCAUGUAAAGCGCUAAAACGCGCUGGAGGAGGAGCCUAUGGCCCAUCAGCUUGUUGGCGGGGUAAAAGCCCACCAAGGCUACGACGGGUAGGGGGUGUGAGAGCAUGGCCCCCCUCACUGGGACUGAGACACUGCCCAGACACCUACGGGUGGCUGCAGUUACGAAUAUUCCUCAAUGGCCGAAAGGCUGAAGGAGCGACGCCGCGUGCGGGAUGAAGGGCUUCGGCUUGUAAACCGCUUUUAUUUGGGAAGAACGAUGACGGUACCAAAUGAAUAAGAGGUUGCUAACUCUGUGCCAGCAGCAGCGGUAAUACAGAGACCUCAAACGUUAUCCGGAUUUAUUGGGCGUAAAGGGUCCGUAGGCGGCCAUGCGCGUCGUGGGUUAAAUGUUAGGGCUCAACUCUGACACCGCUCACGAUACGGCGUGGCUAGAGUCCGGGAGAGACACAUGGAAUUGCCGGUGUAGGGGUAAUAUCCGUUAAUAUCGGCAGGAACGCCAAAUGCGAAAGCAAUGUGCUGGAACGGUACUGACGCUCAGGAACGAAAGCGUGGGGAGCGAAAGGGAUUAGAUACCCCUGUAGUCCAAGCCCUAAACGAUGGAUGCUAGAUAUUGGGAGUAUCGACCCUCCCAGUGUCG